GAUGAACGCUGGCGGCGUGCCUAAUACAAGCAAGUCGAGCGAACAGACGAGGAGCUUGCUCCUCUGACGUUAGCGGCGGACGGGUGAGUAACACGUGGAUAACCUACCUAUAAGACUGGGAUAACUUCGGGAAACCGGAGCUAAUACCGGAUAAUAUAUUGAACCGCAUGGUUCAAUAGUGAAAGACGGUUUUGCUAUCACUUAUAGAUGGAUCCGCGCCGCAUUAGCUAGUUGGUAAGGUAACGGCUUACCAAGGCAACGAUGCGUAGCCGACCUGAGAGGGUGAUCGGCCACACUGGAACUGAGACACGGUCCAGACUCCUACGGGAGGCAGCAGUAGGGAAUCUUCCGCAAUGGGCGAAAGCUUGACGGAGCAACGCCGCGUGAGUGAUGAAGGUCUUCGGAUCGUAAAACUCUGUUAUUAGGGAAGAACAAAUGUGUAAGUAACUAUGCACGUCUUGACGGUACCUAAUCAGAAAGCCACGGCUAACUACGUG
RNAcentral lists this ribosomal RNA (497 nucleotides) under uncultured bacterium. Its description in RNAcentral is "partial 16S ribosomal RNA". It matches the Rfam family "Bacterial small subunit ribosomal RNA", at positions 28 to 507 of the family's 1533-position model. The record is from RNAcentral.